CUUGCACGCUUUGGUGUCUCUUCGGGCCGCGCCUGGUGCCCACUGCCGCACGGUCUCCUUUCUUUUUCAUCCUCCAAGGGGCGUCGGCGCAGGGCGCGCAGUCCGCCUCGGCUUGUCGCCGGAGGCAUGCACUCAGCCUUUCUGGAACGCGUCUUGGGCUACUCGGGAGCCGACAGGACCUCGGCGAGCUCUGAGGUAGGCCCAGAUGGCGGGGUCAUGGCAUCAACCGGCAGCGGAGGUGCGAAGAGCAGCACCCAGUACAAGGCCGUCACGCGGCCGUAUCGGUGUAGUCAAAGUAACCCAGCGCUGCGAUCAGAAAACCUCGUCGGCACUGCCAAGGACGGUGACGCCGACGGCGCGCCUCUCAACAGCUCCAUGAAGAGAGGCGGAGGCUUCAGCUUCUCCAAGGCAGGUAGGCUCUCUUGGAUGAGUAUUCGAUCAUCCAUCGGCAUGGGCACCAGGCAGUCGUCGGCUUCCGCGGCGCCCGCACCGCAAGCCUCGAGCGGUGCGUUGCAUCUCAACAAAUUGAGUGCGCCGACUCCUCCUGGCACCACCGCGACGGUGAGCCCCUUUGGGCCGAACACCCCGCUGGCCAAGACCCCGACCCCGACCACGGCCGCUGCUACCGCCACCGCUGCCGUGAGCGGCGAGCAUGCAAAGCGCUUCCAGGAGGCGCUGUGUGUAGACUCAGUGGAUAUGGCGCUACUGCGGGAGCUGAGCUGGCAGGGCUGCCCGGUUGCUCUCCGGUACGAGGCAUGGAUGUUUCUCACCGGAUGCUGGACGGCGCAGGCAGCAACGCGCCAGCCGACCGUGCUGAGGCGCCGUGUCGAGUACGCCGCCUACAUUCACAGCUCCUACGGCAUCGUCGACUGGGACGCCGUGUGCGCGAUGGUGGACAGCGGCGUCGACACAGCCGUGCACCGGUCAACCCUCAAGUCACUCGAGCACACUGCUGAUACACCGCAGGUGACCCCACCGUCCUGCACCUCACAGAGCCGCUUGCGUGCGGCGCCGUUGACAACCGGCGGCAGCACAGCCACGGCGGCAAAGGAGGCUGCUGCCGCUCCACCUCUGUCGCUUUCGCAGCGGCCGGACGGAUGGCAGAGCGCUUCCCUCCCCCUCGAGGAUGCCCGCUCGCGGUCGCCGCAGAACACAAGUGGGAGUGACGCGCCGCAGCCGUCGCAACUGCCACAGCCCCAGUCAGCGGAUCUCCCGACAGCAAGCCCUUCCCUGGGCACUCUGCCAGCCCCCUCUGGCUCCUCGUUCCGCGCCUCCGCUUCAGUGGGGCUCACUGAUACCGCCGGUGCCGGUCCGACUUCUCAUCCGCCAAUGUCCGUGCCGCCGCUUCCCGGGCUUGCGACGCUCGGGCUGCCGAAUGCGGUGCCAGCGACGGUGGCGCCAUCUGCUGCCAGUGGCGGCGCUGGCGGGGCGACAGGGCACCAGCUUAGUGCCAGCACGAUGCUGGGCUCGAAGGAGUUGCAGACGCUGAAGCAGAUCCGCAAGGACAUUCCUCGCAUGUCGGGCGGCCACUGCUACCUGCGCCACCCACGCGUGCAGGGCUCCAUUGAGCGCAUCCUGUUCAUCUGGUCCCUGCGCCAUCCGGCCUGCGGCUACGUGCAGGGCAUGAAUGACCUUGUUGUCCCGUUCAUGGGCGUGGUGCUGGGCUACCGCUUCUGUCCGACCCACUCGGUAACAGAGCUGCACGCCUACACCGAGGACAUCUUCGACGAUCUGUGGUCCGUUUCGGCAGUUUCGGCCACGCAGUGGAUCAACGAGGUGGAGGCGGAUGUGUACUGGAUGACGUCGUAUUUGCUCAACACCAUGCAGGAUAACUACACGAGCAGUCACGCCGGGAUCACGUCCAUGAUGCGGCACCUCGCUGCGGUCGUGCAGGUUGCCGACCCACCGCUCUACCAUCGCUUGGUGGACGUGCUGCAGCUCCACUUUGAGCAGUUUUCCUUCCGGUGGAUGAAUUGCUUGCUAAUGCGCGAGCUGACUGAAACGCAGUCGCUGCGGCUGCUCGAUGCGUAUCUAUCCGAUGAGGAGCGGCGGUGGAGUGUCACGCACGUGUAUGUGUGCGCGGCACUGCUGCUGCGCUGGGGCUCACAGCUGAUGGCGUUUUGCGAGGACUAUAUCAGCGUAAUGAAGUUCUUGCAGGAACCACCGACGGAGCAGCUGUCGCUGCGUGAUAUGCAAGAUGUGCUCUCAGAGGGCUUUGUGCUGCAGAACCUGUAUGAGGCCUCCUUGAAGAGACUGUCCACAACCGCGGAGUGAAGGGCGUGGGCAGCUUGAUCUCGUCACGAGCCGCACUUGCGUCGCAGCAUGUUUUCGUUCUGGACGUUGUCGGCGUGCGCGCAUGUACAGGCGCUACCUGUGCGUAGCGUGAGCGUACGCCAUGCCACCUUCACCCCCUCCCUUCUCCUCACCGAAUGAGCGCUCUGUCUCUCUUUGGGCGCAUACUUGUAUGCGUGCCAAGCGUGCUUCGCUCUUUUCUUUCUCCCUGCAGCUGCGUUUUGAACUCCCCACAUGUGUGCAGUCGCACGUUUUUGCGGCGAGCAUCGUGCCUUGGACGCUUUCCCUUCGUUUCUCGCCACCGCUCUUCCACUUCUCUCUACCUCGCUCUCCCCUCCUUCCGCUUACAGCACCUGCGC
Molecule: unclassified non-coding RNA, 2651 nt
Filed under: Leishmania donovani
Lineage: Eukaryota; Euglenozoa; Kinetoplastea; Trypanosomatida; Trypanosomatidae
Description: gene:LdHU3.30.1790(CDS-product:GTPase_activating_ protein_putative)
Source: RNAcentral